Molecule: ribosomal RNA, 389 nt
Filed under: Staphylococcus aureus
Lineage: Bacteria; Bacillati; Bacillota; Bacilli; Caryophanales; Staphylococcaceae
Description: bacterial SSU rRNA
Rfam family: Bacterial small subunit ribosomal RNA
Source: RNAcentral
UUUUAUGGAGAGUUUGAUCCUGGCUCAGGAUGAACGCUGGCGGCGUGCCUAAUACAUGCAAGUCGAGCGAACGGACGAGAAGCUUGCUUCUCUGAUGUUAGCGGCGGACGGGUGAGUAACACGUGGAUAACCUACCUAUAAGACUGGGAUAACUUCGGGAAACCGGAGCUAAUACCGGAUAAUAUUUUGAACCGCAUGGUUCAAAAGUGAAAGACGGUCUUGCUGUCACUUAUAGAUGGAUCCGCGCUGCAUUAGCUAGUUGGUAAGGUAACGGCUUACCAAGGCAACGAUGCAUAGCCGACCUGAGAGGGUGAUCGGCCACACUGGAACUGAGACACGGUCCAGACUCCUACGGGAGGCAGCAGUAGGGAAUCUUCCGCAAUGGGCGA